GACGAACGCUGGCGGCGUGCUUAACACAUGCAAGUCGAACGAUGAAGCCUAGCUUGCUAGGUGGAUUAGUGGCGAACGGGUGAGUAAUACGUGAGUAACCUACCUUUAACUCUGGGAUAAGCCUGGGAAACUGGGUCUAAUACCGGAUACGACCAAUCUCCGCAUGGGGUGUUGGUGGAAAGCGUUAUGUAGUGGUUAUAGAUGGCCUCACGGCCUAUCAGCUUGUUGGUGAGGUAACGGCUCACCAAGGCGACGACGGGUAGCCGGCCUGAGAGGGUGACCGGCCACACUGGGACUGAGACACGGCCCAGACUCCUACGGGAGGCAGCAGUGGGGAAUAUUGCACAAUGGGCGCAAGCCUGAUGCAGCGACGCCGCGUGAGGGAUGACGGCCUUCGGGUUGUAAACCUCUGUUAGCAGGGAAGAAGAGAGAUUGACGGUACCUGCAGAGAAAGCGCCGGCUAACUACGUGCCAGCAGCCGCGGUAAUACGUAGGGCGCGAGCGUUGUCCGGAAUUAUUGGGCGUAAAGAGCUUGUAGGCGGUUUGUCGCGUCUGCUGUGAAAGGCCGGAGCUUAACUCCGUGUAUUGCAGUGGGUACGGGCAGACUAGAGUGCAGUAGGGGAGACUGGAAUUCCUGGUGUAGCGGUGGAGUGCGCAGAUAUCAGGAGGAACACCGAUGGCGAAGGCAGGUCUCUGGGCUGUAACUGACGCUGAGAAGCGAAAGCAUGGGGAGCGAACAGG
RNAcentral lists this ribosomal RNA (741 nucleotides) under Rothia mucilaginosa. RNAcentral describes it as "bacterial SSU rRNA". It matches the Rfam family "Bacterial small subunit ribosomal RNA", at positions 28 to 776 of the family's 1533-position model. Lineage: Bacteria; Bacillati; Actinomycetota; Actinomycetes; Micrococcales; Micrococcaceae. The record is from RNAcentral.